GCAGGUAUGGUGUAAUGGUAGCAUUUUUGCUUCCCAAGCAAACGGCGCGGGUUCGAAUCCCGUUACCUGCUCCA
RNAcentral lists this transfer RNA (74 nucleotides) under Candidatus Fimivivens faecavium. Its description in RNAcentral is "tRNA-Gly". It matches the Rfam family "tRNA". Rfam says of the family: Transfer RNA (tRNA) molecules are approximately 80 nucleotides in length. Their secondary structure includes four short double-helical elements and three loops (D, anti-codon, and T loops). Further hydrogen bonds mediate the characteristic L-shaped molecular structure. tRNAs have two regions of fundamental functional importance: the anti-codon, which is responsible for specific mRNA codon recognition, and the 3' end, to which the tRNAs corresponding amino acid is attached (by aminoacyl-tRNA synthetases). tRNAs cope with the degeneracy of the genetic code in two manners: having more than one tRNA (with a specific anti-codon) for a particular amino acid; and 'wobble' base-pairing, i.e. permitting non-standard base-pairing at the 3rd anti-codon position. Lineage: Bacteria; Bacillati; Bacillota; Clostridia; Eubacteriales; Oscillospiraceae. The record is from RNAcentral.